This 434-nucleotide ribosomal RNA is filed under the name uncultured bacterium. Its description in RNAcentral is "bacterial SSU rRNA". It matches the Rfam family "Bacterial small subunit ribosomal RNA", at positions 335 to 762 of the family's 1533-position model. The record is from RNAcentral.
ACUCCUACGGGAGGCAGCAGUGGGGAAUAUUGCACAAUGGGCGCAAGCCUGAUGCAGCCAUGCCGCGUGUAUGAAGAAGGCCUUCGGGUUGUAAAGUACUUUCAGCAGUGAGGAAGGUGGGUAUGUUAAUAGCAUACNCAUUUGACGUUAGCUGCAGAGAAGACACCGCUAACUCCGUGCCAGCAGCCGCGGUAAUACGGAGGGUGCGAGCGUUAAUCGGAAUUACUGGGCGUAAAGCGCAUGCAGGUGGUUUGUUAAGUCAGAUGUGAAAGCCCGGGGCUCAACCUCGGAAUUGCAUUUGAAACUGGCAAACUAGAGUACUGUAGAGGGGGGUAGAAUUUCAGGUGUAGCGGUGAAAUGCGUAGAGAUCUGAAGGAAUACCGGUGGCGAAGGCGGCCCCCUGGACAGAUACUGACACUCAGAUGCGAAAGCGU